RNAcentral lists this long non-coding RNA (4217 nucleotides) under Bemisia tabaci. RNAcentral's name for it is "lncRNA ENSASIAIIG006211". The record is from RNAcentral. Lineage: Eukaryota; Metazoa; Arthropoda; Insecta; Hemiptera; Aleyrodidae.
CGAAAGCAGGGUAAAUGGCAGAUGACAUAGCAUUUGAACCAAUUUUUGGGAAAAUUGACUCUAUGCUUCAGUUUGGCUGGACACAGUACCUGAUUCACGUUAGGGAUGGAGAUGUUGCCAGAGUUCAAAAAAUGAUUUCAGAGGGAUACACUCCCAAUGACUGCAACAGUUAUGGACUAAGUUCUUUGACGGUGUCAGUGAUCAGUAAGAAUGAGCGUAUGGUCGAGACAAUUUUGAACACAGAAAGCUUCACUUAUGAUAAAUUAGCUAGUGAAUUGAUAGACCCUGUAAGUUUGGCAAGCUUGCUAGGGCUGCAAGGAAUUUUACUAAUAUUACUGGAUAAAUUUCCCAACCUCGUGAACAAUAAGAACACGACCUGUGGAUACACACCGAUUUUUUUUGCUGCAAUCAAGAGACACUACAGAAUUGUUCAAAUCCUGAUAGCAAGAGGUGCUGACUUGAGCAUUCGAAACUCAGCCGACCAUACACUUCUGGAAGUUGCGAUGAUGAUGAACGACGCAGAGUUGGUAGCUUUCCUUAGUGCUAAGUCAGGGGUCGAUGACUUACGGAAGCCGAGGUGCCACCCCCGUUUGUACACUCCCCCCCGUUGUCUAAAGCAGGUCGGAGUGUCACCCCCGUCACCAGCGAAGCCAUAUUCAAAACCUGAUAAGAGGAAAUUAGCCAGCCCAGUAUCCAAACCAAAAACUCGACCACUCCGUCAGAUAAAUAAUGACCUUCCAAACAGGAACAUCACUCUUCAAAACAACUCUUUCGAAUCGAAUGACCAAUUUUCAGACACCUCCUUUUCCGACUCUUCAAGUUUUUUCUCCAACGAUUUCGUACCACUUGCAAAAUCUUCUCUUGCCUUCAGAAGCUCUUCUUCAUCAAACACUCCCUCCUUCAAUUUCAACAAUUCCAGUUUCUGUGCCUCUCCUAAGCUCCAAUCUGCAAUGCUGUCUUCACCAUAUUCUUUCCAAAAGAUGUCCUGUCCAUCACCCAGACUUCCAUUACCAAACUGCACCUAUUAUCACUAUUCAGUAUCCGACGUUCCAACGCUAACAACAUCUCCAGCAACUCCAUACUUGCCGUCACCAGACUGCUCCUAUUUUCACUUUUCAUCGCCGACACCUCUCCAGAACCGUACGCUUCCACAUACUCCACUUACCACUCCUAAAAAUUUCUUGCAUCCCACUAAGAGCUUCGCACCCUCCCAUACACCGGUCUCAACCCCAGAAUUUGGUCAAUCCUUGAUGGUUCCUCAACUCCUCAACACACCUCAGACACACCAUCGUAAAUUUUUACACCCUCAAAAGCUGACGUUUCAACAGCCCAGGUCUUUUAUCGCCUCAUACGUGACACCGCUACGAACUAGGAACAAGAAGGUGCCAUUGAGGACUAAACUGCUGGAUAAACUGUACAGAAGAGAGAAGUUGAUAAAAAAUGAUGAGAAUCAAAAUUUGGAACCAAUAUGUGCUAAUGAUCUCAAGAGUGUUCUGGAGUAUUUGGGACUUGAAAAAUACUAUAAACUUUUUGAGUUGAAUCAGGUAGAGCCAGAAAUUUUGAGUACUUUCACUGACGUCGAUUUGGAAACGAUGGGAAUUGAGGACAAGAAGACUCGCAAGACUAUUUUGAAAAAAAUCAGGAAAGGUUUGCUUGAUGCAAACACAUGACUUUUUCAGUGUUUCGGUUCUAGCUUUUAAGAUUUUCUUCAAGUUUUAGGCGUUAAUCAGUUAAUUUUUGCACAUAUUUUCUACUUGAAAUGCAUGACUGCUUAAGAUUAACAUCUUCUGUAUUGGCUUUUUAGAUUUACUUUUAGUUUAGGGCUUUUAUUAGUUUAAUUACCGCACGUUUUCUCAAGUUUAAAUUCAUGACUGCUUAGCAUUAACAUCUACAUACUUUUCAGUUGAGUUUUAGCAUUUUAGACUUACUUUGAAUUUAGAUUUUUUAAGUUUUAAUACCAAAUGCAUUUUCUUUAUAAAAAUUUGGACCAGUUAUAUUUGAUGGACAUUAAGAACUGAUUUUUGACAACUUUUAUCUAUUAAUAUAACUUUGAAUGCCACAGUGCGUACUCAUUUGACAGUUUUAAAAGUUUCUGCAUUUAUCUUUACUUUUUCAAAAUUGCAACACUAUAAGACAAAAGCUUGAUUAUUUUCACCAACUCGCAGAUUUACUGUUUCUUAGUUACAAGUUCACAACUAUUCAUUAUUUUUAGAUUUUGUAUUUUUAAUGUUUUAUAUGAUUAUCAUUAUUAACAUCAAUAUGCCAUCAAUAAAGUUCAUUCAAUUUAGAUCCCUACUUAAGUUACAUUUUUUUAUUCAAUUAAAAAUUCCUGAGGGUAGAGUCAUUCUUUGCAGACAGGAUAGAGAAAGGAAUUAAACGCAUAUGUUCUUGGAACCACUGCUUCGAUUAUAAAAAACUGAGGCAUUUUAGAGAGAGUACUUUAACGUGAGUCAUUUUUCAAAAUUUCAGAAAGCUGACUCAUGAGCAGCUGCCUCAAGUUGGUUGAAAGUUACAAAUUUUAAAUAACAAUCUUCUCUUACAUUAAUUUUUCUACCCUCCAGUAUCUACAAUAGGCCAAUUAAAACCUUUCUAUUGUUUUUCUAGAAUUUUUAAUUCUGGCGCUUAGGUCUUUUUGAGAAUGACCGAUUUAAUUUGGUACCAAAUCUUGGGGCAUAUUGAGUCUUUCUUUGCAAUUUUUGCUAAAAUUCGUAGUCCAUUUAUACCUAAGAAAUUUCAACAAAUUAUUCUCCCAUAAAUCCAGAAUUUUUGUGCUUUUUAGCUACAUAUUUCUGAACAUAUCUCAUGGGAUGCAGCGUUAUUCUACAGUUUUUUGAACCAGUAGGUAAAUAUUUUUAAGGUUAUUCUUCCAAUUAAUUUGAAAGAUUCAAAGUUGAUUCACUUUCUAGUUAUGUUUUCUUCAGUGCGACAAUACUUUUCUGAUACACUUGCAGUCAGUAAGCAGGAAGAUGAGUAGAAAUAGAGACUUACCGAUUUGCUCAGACAGCUUGGUUUGACACUUCCUGGUUCUCUUUCUCUUUGUCCAACAGUCUAUAAAUUUUAGCGAUCAAGUCAGGUUUCUUAUCUUUUGCUUGGACGAUGACUCCGUUCUUGCGCAGGUAAUACUGCAGAGUGGGAAUGUUCACCUGUCCCAGAAGUCCUCUCUGCGCGUGAUCUUUCAUAUCGAUGCUGUCAUUGACAGCAGCUUUUUUUGGUUUUUUCUCUGCCUGUUGGAUACAACAAGAAGACAGACUUUCAACACAUGGACAGUGCCGAUACGAAGAAACAUAUUUUAAUAGAUCAAUACGCAGGGUGAGAAAUGAAGUAUCGUCACAUGUGAAAGACCAUUCAGAAAAUGGGCGCGUGUCCAUUUGGAGCUGACAAGAUUGUGUAACUUUGCCAUUCUUUUCUUCUGAUGGAAAUUUGCUUAACUUUGCAAAAAGUUUUGGGUGAAUGACUUCAUAAAAGUUACCGUUACAUUAUAUAAGAGGAAAGUUCGCACUGUCAAGUGAAAAUACGAGGUAUGAUCCAUUAGAAACCGAACUUUGGCCAUUGUGGGCUAACGGAUGAUCGGAUCGACGUUUUCUUGGGUUUAUCUGAUUGCUGAUAAACUGACAAACACAUUGGUUUUUACGGAUUUCAAUUAUCUUAACUAGUUCGGAUUUUACAGCCGUUUGAUUCAGGUGUGUUCAAGUGCGUGUUGCGAUUUUGAGAAAUGCGUGAGCUUCUAGAACAACGGUAUAACAUUAAAUUUUGUUUUAAGUUGGGUAAAACGUUUUCCGAAACUUUUGCACUUUUAAUGAGAGUUUAUAGCAUUUGAGCGGUCCAGCAGCUGUUGGCAGAUGAAAACGCGCUUUUCUUUUUGCGCUUGGGUUAACAACUUGGGAAUCCACUUUGCAGAAACUCUAUACGCAUGUUCAAAUUUUGUGUUAAAAUUCUCUGAACGGACCCAACAGAAAUAUUCAGUUCCUCUGAAAGCUCAUGAAUGGUUACAUGGCCGUCGGUUUGCACUUUUUCGCGAACUUGAAUCUCGUCAGUUGACGUCCUGGGCUUGACUCCAUGAACCUCAUCUUCCACCGAUUUCUGACCGUUUUUAAAUCUCUUAAACCAUUCGUAAAACUGAGUCCGACUUAAACACUUAUCACCAUAAACUCUCGUUAACAGAGCACAAGUUUCGGAAAACGUUUUACCUAACUUAAAACAAAAUUUAAUGUUAUACU